Molecule: ribosomal RNA, 499 nt
Filed under: uncultured Oscillospiraceae bacterium
Lineage: Bacteria; Bacillati; Bacillota; Clostridia; Eubacteriales; Oscillospiraceae
Description: partial 16S ribosomal RNA
Source: RNAcentral
CACGUAGUUAGCCGUGGCUUCCUCCUUGGCUACCGUCAUUAUCGUCACCAAGGACAGAGGUUUACAAUCCGAAAACCUUCUUCCCUCACGCGGCGUCGCUGGGUCAGGGUUUCCCCCAUUGCCCAAUAUUCCCCACUGCUGCCUCCCGUAGGAGUCUGGGCCGUGUCUCAGUCCCAAUGUGGCCGUUCAACCUCUCAGUCCGGCUACCAAUCGUCGGCAUGGUGGGCCUCUACCCCGCCAUCUACCUAAUUGGACGCGAGCCCAUCUCUCAGCGGAUUGCUCCUUUGAUUGCAAAACCAUGCGGCUCUGCAAUGUUAUGCGGUAUUAGCGAUCGUUUCCAAUCGUUAUCCCCCUCUGAAAGGCAGGUUGCUCACGCGUUACUCACCCGUCCGCCACUCGAAUAUGCCUUCCUCGGCCGAAGCCUUGUCCAGCAUAUCCCCGUUGACUUGCAUGUGUUAGGCGCGCCGCCAGCGUUCGUCCUGAGCCAGGAUCAAACUCU